GAAUUCGAUUCGGUGUGACAAGGCCCGGGAACGUAUUCACCGCGGCGUGCUGAUCCGCGAUUACUAGCGAUUCCAACUUCAAGCAGGCGAGUUGCAGCCUGCUAUCCGAACUGAGACCGGCUUUCUCCGAUUAGCUCCACCUUGCGGCUUUGCGACGGUUUGUACCGGCCAUUGUAGCACGUGUGUAGCCCCAGACAUAAAGGCCAUGCUGACUUGACGUCAUCCCCACCUUCCUCCGGUUUAUCACCGGCAGUCUUUGCAGAGUGCCCAGCAUAACCUGAUGGCAACAGCAAACAAGGGUUGCGCUCGUUGCGGGACUUAACCCAACAUCUCACGACACGAGCUGACGGCAGCCAUGCAGCACCUCUACGAGUGUCCUUGCGGAAGCUCCCUUUCGGGAGUGGUCACUCGCUGUUCAAGCCUGGGUAAGGUUCUUCGCGUUAAUCACUA
RNAcentral lists this ribosomal RNA (450 nucleotides) under uncultured soil bacterium. RNAcentral describes it as "partial 16S ribosomal RNA". The record is from RNAcentral.